Long non-coding RNA from Phlebotomus papatasi, 1026 nucleotides. RefSeq lists it as uncharacterized. The record is from RefSeq and is a predicted model, not a curated record. NCBI's taxonomy places the organism in Eukaryota, Metazoa, Arthropoda, Insecta, Diptera, Psychodidae. The transcript is spliced from 3 exons.
GUGCAUAAUGAACACUCGUGAAUGUUCAACGAAGCAAUUGUCAGUGCGUCACUUCAGUUUGCGCAAAUUCUUCUCUGUUGUGGAUGGUUUUGAUUUGUUUCGUGAUAUUAAGCCAGUUUGAUAAAAACAGUUUCAAGUUUCAAGUGAAAAUGAGCGAUAAUAUCAGUGAUAUUGAACUUUCACGAGGACGUUGAUGUAGAGGAGUCUGUUGUCCCAGGCGCCCCAAUACAGGGUGCAUUCUGUGGAAGCUGCCGCGGAGACAUUGAAAACUUCACAAGGAGAGGCAAAUACCCUCUUCUUUGCUGCACAAAAUACUCAGACAAAAUCAGGUUCCGCACUUCAUUAAAUAAUUGGCGCAGACAUCUAAACUCCAGAAGUGUUGGAAAUAAAGCUGCUUCCUUAUGCUGCUGUGAAAAGGUGGCUUAUGUAUCCAGUGACCAAAUUGAAAAGGCUACCUAUUACAUCCCUAGGCCAUCUUGUGGAUAUCGAUACAUUUGAGGAACUCUUUAUGAUAAAUAUCGAAACCUGCGACGCAGUUACAUUAAGAAAGGUUACAUCAAAAAGAGAGCAAGAGUGAAGCCAGUCACUUUUUAGAUACAUGAGAGUGAAGGUUCAGAUCCUGCUCUUGUGAAAGGAUCCUCAUAAGAGGAACUUAAAUUGUGGUUGUCUUUAAAUUCUGAGCCACUGGAGCAGGUCCAAGAAAAUUGGACUAAUACUUUUCCUCUGAGGUGUCCAUCUGGACAUCAGCACUACGAGUUAACUAUCGAAGCCAGUGUCCAGUUUUCAAAACGGCAGUUGCACUAAUCUUGGUAAGUGCUCUGAAUAAUACGCAUGCGAAAUCAAGAUUUAAUUUUGAUAUUUGUUUUCAGAAGCAUUUGGAUUUUGCGAUAGUAAACCCUGUAGCAGGAUCAUUGGAAACACAUUGGAAAAUUUUUUUGCGGAAAAUUUCUUGAUCAUGUGUCUGGAAUUGAAAACAAGCACAAUGCUGAAAAUCCAAGUAAGAUUAAGAAAAAUUAUAAGGCUUAA